AUCCUUUUUGUAGUUGAUGAACAUGAUGGGGUGUUCACACACUUGUGUGAGGUGUGUCAUCCUCAAACCCUAUUAUGGUGGCACGUUAACCAUCUGACG
This is a small nucleolar RNA of Papio anubis (olive baboon), 99 nucleotides long. Lineage: Eukaryota; Metazoa; Chordata; Mammalia; Primates; Cercopithecidae. The record is from Ensembl.